This 429-nucleotide ribosomal RNA is filed under the name bacterium. RNAcentral describes it as "partial 16S ribosomal RNA". It matches the Rfam family "Bacterial small subunit ribosomal RNA", at positions 355 to 776 of the family's 1533-position model. The record is from RNAcentral.
UAGGGAAUCUUCCACAAUGGACGCAAGUCUGAUGGAGCAACGCCGCGUGAGUGAAGAAGGUUUUCGGAUCGUAAAGCUCUGUUGUUGGUGAAGAAGGAUAGAGGCAGUAACUGGUCUUUAUUUGACGGUAAUCAACCAGAAAGUCACGGCUAACUACGUGCCAGCAGCCGCGGUAAUACGUAGGUGGCAAGCGUUGUCCGGAUUUAUUGGGCGUCAAGCGAGCGCAGGCGGAAUGAUAAGUCUGAUGUGAAAGCCCACGGCUCAACCGUGGAACUGCAUCGGAAACUGUCAUUCUUGAGUGCAGAAGAGGAGAGUGGAAUUCCCUGUGUAGCGGUGGAAUGCGUAGAUAUAUGGAAGAACACCAGUGGCGAAGGCGGCUCUCUGGUCUGCAACUGACGCUGAGGCUCGAAAGCAUGGGUAGCGAACAGG